UCAGUGUAUUGAUGAAGACGUCUUCUAAGAAAAAACGAGGCAUGGACGACAUAGGGCAACGUAAGAAACUUUUCAAAAAUUAUUGAAAUGUCACGUAGCAACUUCUCAAAUUGCAAAAAUCCUGACGCUGUCGUUCAAUGCGCUCUGCGGAUUGAUAGAGCGAGUCGUGAACCAAGGAGAACUCGAAGGCAGCACAUCUUAGGAGGUGGGUGGCCAGUGGGAGAUCGUGCUGGGCUGCACUUGUCGCCUGCAGUUGGAAGGCGAAAGGGAAAGAACAAGUGUCUGGGCUGGGUGAUGGGUGGGGGUGGAGCAGUCACGCCUCGGCCGCUGACACUAAGACGCCAACCCAACAAAAUCCCCGAGCCAGUCAGGCCCAAAGCAGCAGCAAAUCCAAUACACACGGCCACUGGCUGCCCCAUAAGGUUGCUUCGAAUACCCAGCACCACCCAGCACCGCCAUAUCCAACCCAGCCCCAGUUACCAACCGCAAUUUAACGUGCGAACGACAGUUUGACCCACGGACCGGGUUCCUGUUUUUCUUUGUGCUCUUUUUGGGUGGCAAAACAUCAUUAGGAUAUUUCAGGAGCGGAGUGCAGGUUUUGAUCCGACUUCGCUCUCAGGAUUCGGUAUGUCUUCACCAAGUUAUGAAU
Drosophila melanogaster (fruit fly) is the source of this 649-nucleotide non-coding RNA. The record is from Ensembl. NCBI's taxonomy places the organism in Eukaryota, Metazoa, Arthropoda, Insecta, Diptera, Drosophilidae.